This 173-nucleotide ribosomal RNA is filed under the name Klebsiella aerogenes. RNAcentral describes it as "partial 16S ribosomal RNA". It matches the Rfam family "Bacterial small subunit ribosomal RNA", at positions 345 to 510 of the family's 1533-position model. The record is from RNAcentral. Lineage: Bacteria; Pseudomonadati; Pseudomonadota; Gammaproteobacteria; Enterobacterales; Enterobacteriaceae.
GAGGCAGCAGUGGGGAAUAUUGCACAAUGGGCGCAAGCCUGAUGCAGCCAUGCCGCGUGUAUGAAGAAGGCCUUCGGGUUGUAAAGUACUUUCAGCGAGGAGGAAGGCGUUAUAGGUUAAUAACCCUUGGCGAUUGACGUUACUCGCAGAAGAAAGCCCCGAAUCUCGCGCCG